UGGUUUCUCUUCAGAUUGUAUAAAUCUUUUGCCUUUUACUAAAGAUUUCUGUGGAGAGGAACAAUUUA
RNAcentral lists this small nuclear RNA (68 nucleotides) under Aptenodytes forsteri (emperor penguin). RNAcentral's name for it is "U5 spliceosomal RNA". It matches the Rfam family "U5 spliceosomal RNA", at positions 7 to 74 of the family's 117-position model. From Rfam's summary of the family: U5 RNA is a component of both types of known spliceosome. RNAcentral also lists the same sequence under 2 other names. Lineage: Eukaryota; Metazoa; Chordata; Aves; Sphenisciformes; Spheniscidae. The record is from Rfam by way of RNAcentral.